This 253-nucleotide ribosomal RNA is filed under the name uncultured bacterium. RNAcentral's name for it is "partial 16S ribosomal RNA". It matches the Rfam family "Bacterial small subunit ribosomal RNA", at positions 524 to 776 of the family's 1533-position model. The record is from RNAcentral.
UACGUAGGGGGCAAGCGUUGUCCGGAAUUAUUGGGCGUAAAGCGCGUGUAGGCGGCUCGGUAAGUCUGCUGUGAAAGCCCAAGGCUCAACCUUGGAAAGCCGGUGGAUACAGUCGAGCUCGAGUCCGGAAGAGGCGAGUGGAAUUCCUGGUGUAGCGGUGAAAUGCGCAGAUAUCAGGAGGAACACCAAUGGCGAAGGCAGCUCGCUGGGACGGUACUGACGCUGAGACGCGAAAGCGUGGGGAGCAAACAGG